Molecule: long non-coding RNA, 592 nt
Organism: Pogoniulus pusillus (Red-fronted tinkerbird)
Lineage: Eukaryota; Metazoa; Chordata; Aves; Piciformes; Lybiidae
Exons: 3
Source: RefSeq, a predicted model, not a curated record
GGACCCUGGGCAGCAUCUCCUCUGGCUGCCUUUGGCUGGCUUCCAGCCUUGGCUGCUUCCUCUCCACACACUCGAUGCCCCUGCAGCUUUGAAGCCAGAUUUGCCAGCACCCAUCUGAGCCCCACGAGUGGGAGAGCAGCUUCUCAGGACCCAGACGACUGCCCUUGGCUUACUCAUGGCAUAGGGUGUUGGAGGAAGAGGAGGAACUGCAGAGGGUGAAAGCUCAGUGCAGAUCACUCCGGGAAGUCUCGAUCUGACUCGAGGGGAAGUCCAGAGCAGCCUCCAGAAGCAUCAUUGUGAGGCACAGCUGUGAGGCUGCUUAACAAACUGGAUGGAAGUGUCACUGCCACUGCUGCUGAAGGGAGUGAGAGACACACCACAAGGAGCACAGCAGAGGGAGGAGGCUGCACAGUGGAAGGAGUAGCUACAACCUGAAUUGUAGCCAUGUGGAUGUCUGCCUCAGCCUGCACAAGAAGCUUCUGACAGUCUGUAAAUGCUCCUAGGGCUUUUUCCAAUGCUCCCUUCUCCAGCUGCUGGCCUCUUUUUUAAGGCAGCCUGCACGACUGUACCAUGGAAGCUUCCCCCGUGGAUG